AGAGAGAAAUCCUGGCCAUAGAUUCGUCAUCCCUUUUAUUUUAUUUUAUUUUUUAUUUUAUCACCGCAAGGGCUUUAGCAGCUGCUUCACUAUAUUUAUCACUGGCUCAUACAUUUGCUUGCCCUUUUCGUUUUUCUGCUUGAAGGAAGCUAGAACUGGAGAGUUUCAGUGUUUUGAGUAGCGGAUUUAUGUCGGCUUGUUUUGAUUUGGCUUUGAUUGGGGCUCUGUUGAAGCUCUGCUUUAUUCCUUCUGCUUCAUCUACUCUUUGCGUUUGCUGUGGUUCUCUCUGUUAUAUGCUUCUCUGCUGUUUCCAGCAGAGUUUACAUCUGGGGUUUCCGGCUAUUUCGAUGCGUUUGAGAUCAAAACGGACUUGUUCUGGUGUCGAGUGUUUUGGGGGUUUUCACAUAAAGCGAUUCUUCUAUCUUUUCCUGUACUUGAGAGGGGCUCUCACUUGAUGCCACCGUGAUAAGCCGAGCUUUUUUCUUUAUUUCAUUUCUCCACAUAAUUUUCUUUUUAUUUUUUUCUGAAUUGAGGGUUUUGGCGAGUUUUAACCAAUCAGUUCCUGAUGUCUGAGCCUAGAAAACAACCUCUAAACCACAACAAGCCCCGCAAAAAAGUCACUGAUACUAAAUCAAUCUUGCCGGAAGAGUUGAGAAUGGAGUCCAAAAUGAGAAAAAUUCGUGUCAUUUACCAUGAUCCUUAUGCGACUGAUUCUGAUUCAAGUGAUGAUGAAUCAGAGAUAAAUGUUAUGAGAUCAUAUAAAUCAAAACGAUUCGUGCACGAAAUUAAUCUUCCUUCCAUUGUUUUUCCUCGGUCAAACCCCAUCGAGCCUGAGAGUUCCUGUCAAGACAGUAACAACAGUGGCAAAAUCCCCAACAAGAGGAGAAGAGUUUUGGGUAAAACUACGUCCUCUACGGCUACUGCAGCAAAAGAAACAACUGGAACAAAAGUAGCACCGAAGAAACCUGUAGGUGUUAGGCAAAGGAAGUGGGGUAAGUGGGCAGCAGAAAUUAGGAAUCCUGUCACCAAAGUCAGGACUUGGUUGGGUACUUACAAUACUCUUGAAGAGGCUGCGCAGGCCUACGAGGCAAAGAAGCGGGAGUAUGAUGCUAUGACUAUGGCAGCCUCUGAGAAGAGCCACAAUAUUUCUACUUCUGUAGCAGCCUCUCAGUCGCAGAACAUCAACAAGAGCAACACUAACCAUAAUUGUUCUGUUUCCUCAGAUGACACUGGCAGUGUGUUAUCACAUACUUCUCCAUCUUCGGUUCUGGAAUUGGAUACUUCUGUUGUGUCAAAUCUUAAUGGUGACUCUAGUGAUUUGAUCAAAGAAGGUGGUUUUGAUACAGACGUUGCAGAUCUUGAGUUAUCCGAUUUGGGUUUUAUGAAUGAGCCACUGGGGUCUUGCCCAGGUGACGAAGAUCUUAACUUGGGUUUGGAGUUUGGUAACCUCAUUGAUGAUUUCGGGCAACUUUAUGAUGAGUUUUGUGCCAUUGAAGAUCUGGAAAUUUGCAGGAUAGACAGUGAUGAACCAAGUGAGCUCCCUGAUUAUGAUUUUGAGUUUGGCAAUGAGGAAUUUGCUUAUUUGGAUGAUCAUCAUCAUCAUCAACAGCACCAACUACCCCUAAAUAUUGCAUGCCCAUAAGUUUUGCAGCUAGGAAUUUUACUUGUGUUAGUAGUAGCUCAUAUUUAAGUAAUAUUAUAAGCAAGAAACACAUCUUAGAAACUGAAGAUGGGUUCUUGAGAUAUUGUGAGUUUUUAUUUAUUUGUUUGUUAUAAAAUUGGGAGGUAGGGAUGAGCUCUUGUUUUGCAGGGAAAGAGUCCUUUGGGUUUUCGUGUGCUAUUAGAGCCGUCCAAGGGAUUCUAAAGCGUCUUGAGGGUGUUCAAUGAUAUGCUGGAUUUUGAGAGUUAUGGUUAUAUUUCCCUUCUUUCUCUUGUUUCUGAAUUGAGAUAUGAAAUGAGAUGAGACUCUUGUGUUUUGCACUA
Molecule: RNA transcript, 1983 nt
Organism: Manihot esculenta (cassava)
Lineage: Eukaryota; Viridiplantae; Streptophyta; Magnoliopsida; Malpighiales; Euphorbiaceae
Gene name: ethylene-responsive transcription factor ERF119
Exons: 3
Source: RefSeq, a predicted model, not a curated record